Molecule: transfer RNA, 56 nt
Filed under: Cooperia oncophora
Lineage: Eukaryota; Metazoa; Nematoda; Chromadorea; Rhabditida; Trichostrongylidae
Description: tRNA-Leu
Source: RNAcentral
GUUAAUAUAGCAUAAUAAAUGUAUUUGUUUUAAGCGCAAAAGAUUGAAAGUUAACU